RNAcentral lists this ribosomal RNA (746 nucleotides) under Bacillus subtilis. Its description in RNAcentral is "bacterial SSU rRNA". It matches the Rfam family "Bacterial small subunit ribosomal RNA", at positions 56 to 784 of the family's 1533-position model. Lineage: Bacteria; Bacillati; Bacillota; Bacilli; Caryophanales; Bacillaceae. The record is from RNAcentral.
UGCAAGUCGAGCGGACAGAUGGGAGCUUGCUCCCUGAUGUUAGCGGCGGACGGGUGAGUAACACGUGGGUAACCUGCCUGUAAGACUGGGAUAACUCCGGGAAACCGGGGCUAAUACCGGAUGGUUGUUUGAACCGCAUGGUUCAAACAUAAAAGGUGGCUUCGGCUACCACUUACAGAUGGACCCGCGGCGCAUUAGCUAGUUGGUGAGGUAACGGCUCACCAAGGCAACGAUGCGUAGCCGACCUGAGAGGGUGAUCGGCCACACUGGGACUGAGACACGGCCCAGACUCCUACGGGAGGCAGCAGUAGGGAAUCUUCCGCAAUGGACGAAAGUCUGACGGAGCAACGCCGCGUGAGUGAUGAAGGUUUUCGGAUCGUAAAGCUCUGUUGUUAGGGAAGAACAAGUACCGUUCGAAUAGGGCGGUACCUUGACGGUACCUAACCAGAAAGCCACGGCUAACUACGUGCCAGCAGCCGCGGUAAUACGUAGGUGGCAAGCGUUGUCCGGAAUUAUUGGGCGUAAAGGGCUCGCAGGCGGUUUCUUAAGUCUGAUGUGAAAGCCCCCGGCUCAACCGGGGAGGGUCAUUGGAAACUGGGGAACUUGAGUGCAGAAGAGGAGAGUGGAAUUCCACGUGUAGCGGUGAAAUGCGUAGAGAUGUGGAGGAACACCAGUGGCGAAGGCGACUCUCUGGUCUGUAACUGACGCUGAGGAGCGAAAGCGUGGGGAGCGAACAGGAUUAGAUA